Molecule: ribosomal RNA, 491 nt
Filed under: uncultured bacterium
Lineage: Bacteria
Description: partial 16S ribosomal RNA
Rfam family: Bacterial small subunit ribosomal RNA
Source: RNAcentral
GUGAACGCUGGCGGUAGGCCUAACACCUGCAAGUCGAACGGCAGCACAGUAAGAGCUUGCUCUUACGGGUGGCGAGUGGCGGACGGGUGAGGAAUACAUCGGAAUCUACUUUUUCGUGGGGGAUAACGUAGGGAAACUUACGCUAAUACCGCAUACGACCUACGGGUGAAAGCAGGGGAUCUUCGGACCUUGCGCGAUUGAAUGAGCCGAUGUCGGAUUAGCUAGUUGGCGGGGUAAAGGCCCACCAAGGCGACGAUCCGUAGCUGGUCUGGGAGGAUGAUCAGCCACACUGGAACUGAGACACGGUCCAGACUCCUACGGGAGGCAGCAGUGGGGAAUAUUGGACAAUGGGCGCAAGCCUGAUCCAGCCAUACCGCGUGGGUGAAGAAGGCCUUCGGGUUGUAAAGCCCUUUUGUUGGGAAAGAAAAGCAGCAGGUUAAUACCCCGCUGUUCUGACGGUACCCAAAGAAUAAGCACCGGCUAACUUCGUG